RNAcentral lists this transfer RNA (69 nucleotides) under Brookesia dentata. RNAcentral describes it as "tRNA-Ile". The record is from RNAcentral. Lineage: Eukaryota; Metazoa; Chordata; Lepidosauria; Squamata; Chamaeleonidae.
GGAAAAGUGCCCGAGAACUAAAGGACUACUUUGAUAAAGUAAAUACAGAGAUUAUCCUCUCUUUUCCCA